GUUCCACUUUCCAGACUGCUGCCAGAGGAAAUUUUCAAAAUGCAACCAUGGUCACAUCACCUUCCACUCUCAGCUUCUUACCUCCCAAAGGCUUCAUUCUCUUACAGCUGGGUGUCUCAACCUCAGCGCUAUUGACGUUUGAGCCUCGUAAUUCUCUACUAGGGGGGCAACCUGUGACUAUAGGAUGUUUAGCAAGCUGGCCUCUACCCACUAGAUGCCAGUAGGACCCUGCCUGCUCCUGCCAAGUUGGGACAGCCAAAAAUGUUUGCAGACAUCACCAAAUGGCCCCUAGAAAGAUUGCCUCUCCUCCACGCUGCUCCCUUCCCAGGGACUUUGCACCUCCCAGCCCUCCCUGAGGAGCCUCUCCCGGCCUCCCUUGCCUCUUCACCAUCCUUCAGACCUCAGCUCGAUGGUGACUUUUCAAUGUCAGCCAUUCUGGGCCGGGCAGGGAGUUGAUAAUGUGGCUGGGGUUGGAGACGAAGAGGCCCCCUUCCUCCUCUGGCAGCUGAUGGGGCAAGAGCAUGACAACAGCAAGAGCAUCAUAUAUGGGGGGCCAAGUGCUUUAUAUCCAUCAUCUCAUUCCCCCCGUGAGAACUCUGUCAAGUGGGCACCUCUGUGUGGGAUUUGAGGAUGAGCCAGGUAAGGAAUCUGCCAAAGGGCACACAGCUAGUAACCGUGUGGAGUGCCGAUUUGGCUGUCUGGGCUCAGAAUUCCAGGGCAAGUCAUUUAAUCUCUCAGGUCUUAGUUUCCUAUCUGGAAAAUGAAAGCAUUUAAAGCCUCCCUGUAUCAUUAUUGGGAAGAUUGGAGAAAGGAUGUAUAGUACCUAGCACACAGCAUGUAGUACAUGCUCACUAGAUGACGCCUGCGAUGGUGAUGAUGGGAUGAUGGCGGUGAUGGUGAUGGGCUGAUGGUGAUGCUGGCAAUGGUGAUGAUGGUGGUGAUGGUGAUGAUGAUGGUGGUGAUGAUGGUGAUGGUGAUGGCAGUGGUGGUGGUGAUGAUGAUGGUGAUGAUGGUAAUGGGGAUGGUGACGGUGAUGACGAUGGGAUGAUGGUGGUGAUGGUGAUGAUGGCAAUGGUGAUGAUGGUGGUGACGGUGAUGAUGGCAAUGGUGAUGGUAAUGAUGUUGGUGAUCGUUAUCAUGGUGACGAGGAGGACAGUGAGAUGCCAAAUUAUUGAACUAUUUCUAGACCUAGGCUUGCUGACCCUCAUCCACCCCCUAAAAGGGCGUUUUGCCCCACAGAUAAAUAUGGAGGAAUGUUCUUUUGCUCCCUGAGUAUAUCAGUGUCGUGUGGCUGCCGUAACAAGUUGCCGCUAACCGGGUGCUUAAAGCAGCAGAAACUUAUUCUCUCAAAGUCCUGGAGGCCAGAAGUCAAAAAUUAAGGUGCUGGCAGUGUCGGUUCUUUCUGGAGACUCUGAGGGGGAAACAGCCCAUACUCCUCCCCCAGCUUGCGGGGGUUGCCAGCCUUCCCUGGAGUUCCUUGGCUUGUGGCCGCAUCUCUCCAGUCUGCCUCUGUCUUCACACGGCCUUCCCCUCUGUGUGUCUCUGUGUGACCUCUUCUGUCUCUUAUAAGGACAGCCUCCUUGGGUUUAGGGCCGAGCCUAAUCCAAGAUAAUCCUAUUUCUAUCCUUAGCUUAACUGUAUCUGCAAACACCCUGUUUCCAAAUAAGGCCACGUUCUGAGGUCCCAGGUGGACAUGAAUUUGGGGGGGGGGGCACUAUGCAGCCCACUACACUGAGGUGGGUCAGCAGCAGUCCAAGGAAAUGACAUGGACGUGUCGUGCCCCCACCCGUCAGGCGCCCAGGACACUGCUGACGGCCCUUUCGGCUCCCCGCGCUCACUGGACCGCUGUCACCGCAGCUCCUGUUUGGUGCUGUGGAAGCUCGGGUGGACUCAUGCGAGGCACGUCUUUGAACCUCCAAGGGUGAUGACUCACCGGGAGUCGUUCUGGCGUGUGCCCGGCCAGGGAGCAGAUGGGCGGACCCAGCCCUGGAGCCCCCGGGUGGGUGGGCGCCUCUGAGGAGCAGGAGUGCACAGCUCAGGGCCCACCAGCCCACCUCCAAGGAGCGUGUGAGCCUCGGAGCCUGUGCGAGGAGACCAUGUCGGGCUGGUGGGCUGCUUUCGCCUUUUCCUUUCCUUGCUUUAGAUGAAAAGUUGGAAAAGAAAGUCGGAGUUUGCCAUCCUUGCAGGCAGGCUGCAACACGUGGAGGGAGCUGAGCCCAUUGUGUUGGUUUCCCGGCAGCGUUUGGAGAAUUCAGACCUGCACGUUGACAUCCCUAUGGUCCAGGCUUUGGAAGUCUCCAGAAGUUCUCCUUUCUGCUGGGGUCCUGACCUCAGGGUCUGGGGCGUGCAGAGGCUCUGGGAGCCAAUGGAAGUUGGCGAUGCUUCAGACAAAAGCAGAUGAUCUCUUUGCAAAGGCACCUUUCCUUUGUAAAAAUGGAAUUUGUUGGUUUUAUUAGUCAGAAAGACAAAUGUGAGUGGGCAGAAGGGGAUGAUUGAGUGUCUCCUCCAUGGGGUAACACGAAUGGAAAUGUACAGUUUUAGUGCCUCUGAUAAUGAUGCUGAGGAGAAGAAAAUAGGAAGAAGGGAGGGAGGGGGGUAGGAGGGGAGAAGGAGAGAGAAAAAGGAGAGAGAGAAAGAAGGAAAGAGUAAAGAAGACCAAAAGAUCAGGAAACAAUGAAAGAAAAAAGGGAAAGAAGAAAAGAAGAGAGAGUCAUGCCAAGGAGAUGAUAUUUAAGCAGAAAACUGUCUGGGCCAUGGAAGGCUCCGGGGGGCGAGCAGUGCAGGCCGGGGUGCACAUGCCAAGGCCCUGGAGGUGAGAGAAGCGUGACUGAGCCUGGUGGGUCUGGGAGAUGAGGACAAGACCAGUUUGGAAUGGGCUCCCUCUGGACCACAAGCCCAAAUUCCUAUGGGGGCCAGGCAGGAAGAUGAGGCAGGCCGAGGGGGGACGUGGCCACGUGGUGCGCACCCGCUGCCUGGAAGGCUGGCAGCCACUCCUCGGCUCCACCCAGGGGCUCCACCUGGGCAUGUGGGCUCCAUGGUGCCAGGUCUUCGCUUUAUGAGAGAGCAGGAAUGCAGAUUGUUGUGUGAGAUCUCACGUCUUUUAGAUGCUGGCUUCAAAUUUAGACACAGAAGGGAGACUUUGUGGACCGAACAGGGACUGUGGGCUGGGCUCGACUCCGGGCCACUCCUUUGCAAUGCUGGGACUUGCUUCAGGCCUCUGACCGAUGUGGACCGCGGACUUGGUCAUUAAGGGCUAUUCUGGAGCACACCCGCUGUCUCUCUUGGUCCAUCUCCAGCAGAGCCGGGCCGAGUCGCAGGAACAACGUGCUUCUCCAUCUGUGAAGCUGCCGAGGGACUGAAUCCAAAUAAGGGCACAGCCAGGAAGAAAAGGGUGUGUCUUCCUUCAAAAGUCUUGAAUAAAGGAAUCCUUUUCAGGGCCUGAAAAGACCAGUGUUGAAGUGAGUGGCAGCCUGUCCAGGCAGGUCUGCGUGCACAGUGACCUCUUACGGGAGGGCGGUUUGCCGCCCGAAAGCUCGCUGCUCCGCCCGCGGAGGAAUCUCCUCCAGCAGAAUCUGACACAUUAGGCUGCCGUCUCUGCUUUGAUGCUGCAGAAAUUAGUCCUUAACCUUUCUGAGGGGAUUAUGAGCAGGGCCCUGCUGGGCACGUCUGGCUCCUCCUUGCCUCCAGCGUGCAGACCUAAAGCUCGUCCUGGAAAGAGAGGCUGCACCAGGUGUAUCAGCGAGCGGGGGAAUUCAUUUUCACGUAAGAGGUGAUCCGAGUCUAGCUGAGUGGCAGAAAGUCAACCAAGUCAGGACUCUUGGUUGCAAGUGACAGAAAGGAAACUCAAACUGGGUUAAACAAACAAACAAAAGAAGGCAACGCGGACGGACCUUGAGGGCAUUAUGCUAAGUGAAAUAUGUCAGAGAAAGACAAAUACUGUAUGAUGUCCCUUAGAUGUGGAAUCUGAAGAAACCAAAUUCAUGGUAAAGAGAUGAGAUUUGUGGUUGCCAGAGGCAGGGGGUAAAGGGUGCAGAAAAUGUGUAAAGAGGGACAAACAGUCCAAGCCUCUGAUUUUGUUUUUUGUUUUCCUUUUUCUGAAGCUGUCAUGCAUGCAGGGUUUAAAGCAAGAGUCACAACCUCACAUGCCCACAGGCAGGUGUCCUCACAUUCACGAGGUAGGCUUCAGAAGCAGAGAGGCAA
Molecule: long non-coding RNA, 4200 nt
Filed under: Equus caballus (horse)
Lineage: Eukaryota; Metazoa; Chordata; Mammalia; Perissodactyla; Equidae
Description: lncRNA (ENSECAG00000058996.1)
Source: RNAcentral